This 433-nucleotide ribosomal RNA is filed under the name uncultured bacterium. RNAcentral describes it as "partial 16S ribosomal RNA". It matches the Rfam family "Bacterial small subunit ribosomal RNA", at positions 29 to 507 of the family's 1533-position model. The record is from RNAcentral.
AACGAACGCUGGCGGCAUGCCUAACACAUGCAAGUCGAACGAGACCUUCGGGUCUAGUGGCGCACGGGUGCGUAACGCGUGGGAACCUGCCCUUAGGUUCGGAAUAACUCCCCGAAAGGGGUGCUAAUACCGGAUAAUGUCUUCGGACCAAAGAUUUAUCGCCUUUGGAUGGGCCCGCGUUGGAUUAGCUAGUUGGUAGGGUAAAAGCCUACCAAGGCGACGAUCCAUAGCUGGUCUGAGAGGAUGAUCAGCCACACUGGGACUGAGACACGGCCCAGACUCCUACGUGAGGAAGCAGUGGGGAAUAUUGGACAAUGGGCGAAAGCCUGCUCCAGCAAUGCCGCGUGAGUGAUGAAGGCCUUAGGGUUGUAAAGCUCUUUUACCCGGGAUGAUAAUGACAGUACCGGGAGAAUAAGCUCCGGCUAACUCCGUG